Drosophila mojavensis is the source of this 368-nucleotide long non-coding RNA. RefSeq lists it as uncharacterized. The transcript has 2 exons. NCBI's taxonomy places the organism in Eukaryota, Metazoa, Arthropoda, Insecta, Diptera, Drosophilidae. The record is from RefSeq and is a predicted model, not a curated record.
GCGCUGCGAUUCGAGUCGAAUUGAAACUUAAAUCGGCCCUCGCUAAUAUUGAUUCAAAACAUUUUCAACGGUGGCCCGGCGCGAUGACGUCCAUGCGAUAAAGCGGAGAACAACUUUUCCAAUGCUGCCCAGUCGGAAAUGCGAAUCUUACUGAUGACGUCAGAGCAAACACAUAUCAUGGACAUUAACUUUUCCAAGGUUGCUUAAGAAGCAACAGAUCAAGUUCUCUUAGAUGCCACGAACCUCAAGAUCUAGUAGUAAUCAACUUCAAUGUAUUAAUAAUUUCAUAAGCUUUACUACUUUCUAAAAUCGUGUUCUUUACCCUACAUAUGCAUCGUAUGGUAGAAUGGUUUAUAGCUUUAAAAAUA